This 71-nucleotide transfer RNA is filed under the name Tinamus guttatus (white-throated tinamou). Its description in RNAcentral is "tRNA-Val". The record is from RNAcentral. Lineage: Eukaryota; Metazoa; Chordata; Aves; Tinamiformes; Tinamidae.
CAGGACGUAGCUAUAAUUACAAAGCAUUCAGCUUACACCUGAAAGAUGUCUGCUAACUAAGACCGACCUGA